AUUGAGUGGAGGUAGCAGUGUAUACGAGUGGAAGGAGGGGGGCAGUGUAUUGGAGUUGGGGGCACUGUAUUGGAUUUGUGGGCAGUGUAUUAAAUUUGUUGGUAGUGUAUUAGAAUGGGGGGGGAGGUGUGUAUUGAAUUGGGUCUGCAUGGAGGCGCUGAGCCCUCCCAAUGGAGAUGCUGAUAGGUGUUGUAUAAUUCUUCUCUCACCACCAGUCCUUUCAAUUGGUAUCCUUUCGAGAGAAAUCCACUCUGUGUUGUGUAUUAAUAGUGAAUGUAAUAUCCCGGUGUCACCUCUUCCAAGAACUAACAUAUAUCUUUAUCACCCUGUCCAGAUAAAUAUAUGACUAGCACUACUAAGGUAUUCUACCCGAUAUUACAAAUAAACAGCCAACACCAUAGUUCUUACCAGAGAGAAAUCUUUACUUAGAAUCUGCCCAGUUAAAUAUUACAAAAGAAGAAUGUUACAGAGUUAUAGUUAAAAUACAUUCAUAACACUCAUACAUUCCACCUAUCUAAUAAUAUCUGCUACAUUGUGUAUGUGCUGUUAGAUGUUAUGUGCAGCAUGUGUGUCUUACCAAACCCCAAUCUCAUGUGAUUUCAGUAUCUUCUAUUUUUAAAUGAAUUGGUUCCCAUGCUGUAAAUAGCAAAUUCCUUAGCUCAAUUGAUAUGUAAAUGUAAUUUACUUUCCCAAGGCCCAAAGUGUUGUCUAUCCUGUUAUUUUAUUUAAGUGUUAACCCCCUUUGCCUCUAACCUAAGGUGUGUUUUCCUAGAUAGAGACUCCUUUGAUAUGUAAAUGUGAUCGGUGCCUUUCAGGUGCUGUAUCUUUCCAACUAUCUAAACAGAAACUCCCUUUGAAGAUAAUUCCUGGUCUCCCAUACACACAGACUUAAUCAAGCCCAUAUUAAUCAGAUAUAUAUAAUCAUAAUAUGUUCCCCAACAAUAGGCUGCGCCGCUUUUUGCCACACAUGCACAAUAGCCUCCCAAUGCUUUCCUAAGGGAAAGCAUUGGAUUGGCUGAGGUCAUCAAGUUUGAUGAUCUCAGCCUAAGUGAAGAACACACUCAUAGAACUUAAAAAUCAACAAGAUAACGUCAUUAGAUUUUUCACAACUGUGCAACAGCAUACAUUCACCAUUUCAGUCCCAUUACCAAACUUUUCUUAAUAUGUCACGGUAGUGGGACUGAAACAUUGGUUAUAUGCAAAUGCACGUCUCCUUAAAAUAAAUUUGCU
Pelobates cultripes (western spadefoot toad) is the source of this 1230-nucleotide non-coding RNA. NCBI's taxonomy places the organism in Eukaryota, Metazoa, Chordata, Amphibia, Anura, Pelobatidae. The record is from the annotation of a GenBank genome assembly.